This 429-nucleotide ribosomal RNA is filed under the name Bacteroidota bacterium. RNAcentral describes it as "Bacteroidetes bacterium partial 16S ribosomal RNA". It matches the Rfam family "Bacterial small subunit ribosomal RNA", at positions 355 to 776 of the family's 1533-position model. The record is from RNAcentral. Lineage: Bacteria; Pseudomonadati; Bacteroidota.
UAGGGAAUCUUCGGCAAUGGGGGGAACCCUGACCGAGCAACGCCGCGUGGGUGAAGAAGGUUUUCGGAUCGUAAAGCUCUGUUGUUAAGGAAGAACGAGUGUGAGAAUGGAAAGUUCAUACUGUGACGGUACUUAACCAGAAAGGGACGGCUAACUACGUGCCAGCAGCCGCGGUAAUACGUAGGUCCCGAGCGUUGUCCGGAUUUAUUGGGCGUAAAGCGAGCGCAGGCGGUUAGAUAAGUCUGAAGUUAAAGGCAGUGGCUCAACCAUUGUAGGCUUUGGAAACUGUUUAACUUGAGUGCAGAAGGGGAGAGUGGAAUUCCAUGUGUAGCGGUGAAAUGCGUAGAUAUAUGGGGGAACACCGGUGGCGAAAGCGGCUCUCGGGUCUGUAACUGACGCUGAGGCUCGAAAGCGUGGGGAGCGAACAGG